This 252-nucleotide ribosomal RNA is filed under the name uncultured bacterium. RNAcentral describes it as "partial 16S ribosomal RNA". It matches the Rfam family "Bacterial small subunit ribosomal RNA", at positions 524 to 776 of the family's 1533-position model. The record is from RNAcentral.
UACGAGGGGGCGAGCGUUGUUCGGAAUUAUUGGGCGUAAAGGGUGCGUAGGCGGUUCCGCAAGUCCUGUGUGAAAUCUUCGGGCUCAACUCGAAGUCUGCACGGGAAACUGCGGGGCUUGAGUGUGGGAGAGGUGAGUGGAAUUCCCGGUGUAGCGGUGAAAUGCGUAGAUAUUGCUCGGAAGGCCGGAGCCGAAGGGGCCCCACUGGUACGUAACUGACGCUGAGGCACGAAAGCGUGGGGAGCAAACAGG